AGACCCGAAACCCGGUGAUCUAGCCAUGGGCAGGUUGAAGGUUGGGUAACACUAACUGGAGGACCGAACCGACUAAUGUUGAAAAAUUAGCGGAUGACCUGUGGCUGGGGGUGAAAGGCCAAUCAAACCGGGAGAUAGCUGGUUCUCCCCGAAAGCUAUUUAGGUAGCGCCUCGUGAAUUCAUCUCCGGGGGUAGAGCACUGUUUCGGCUAGGGGGCCAUCCCGGCUUACCAACCCGAUGCAAACUGCGAAUACCGGAGAAUGUUAUCACGGGAGACACACGGCGGGUGCUAACGUCCGUCGUGAAGAGGGAAACAACCCAGACCGCCAGCUAAGGUCCCAAAGUCAUGGUUAAGUGGGAAACGAUGUGGGAAGGCCCAGACAGCCAGGAUGUUGGCUUAGAAGCAGCCAUCAUUUAAAGAAAGCGUAAUAGCUCACUGGUCGAGUCGGCCUGCGCGGAAGAUGUAACGGGGCUAAACCAUGCACCGAAGCUGCGGCAGCGAACGUAUCACCCAAGACAACUUUACGGAGUUGACGAUUGACGGAGCGAAGCGACGUCAAAGCGUUCAUUAAAGUCGAGUUGGCUUAGGGAUACGUUCGUUGGGUAGGGGAGCGUUCUGUAAGCCUGUGAAGGUGUGUCGUGAGGCAUGCUGGAGGUAUCAGAAGUGCGAAUGCUGACAUAAGUAACGAUAAAGCGGGUGAAAAGCCCGCUCGCCGGAAGACCAAGGGUUCCUGUCCAACGUUAAUCGGGGCAGGGUGAGUCGACCCCUAAGGCGAGGCCGAAAGGCGUAGUCGAUGGGAAACGGGUUAAUAUUCCCGUACUUGGUGUUACUGCGAAGGGGGGACGGAGAAGGCUAUGUUGGCCGGGCGACGGUUGUCCCGGUUUAAGCGUGUAGGUGUGUGUUCCAGGUAAAUCCGGUUCACUUUAACACUGAGGC
RNAcentral lists this ribosomal RNA (937 nucleotides) under Salmonella enterica subsp. enterica serovar Heidelberg. RNAcentral's name for it is "partial 23S ribosomal RNA". It matches the Rfam family "Bacterial large subunit ribosomal RNA", at positions 711 to 1562 of the family's 2925-position model. RNAcentral also lists the same sequence under 5 other names. The record is from RNAcentral. Lineage: Bacteria; Pseudomonadati; Pseudomonadota; Gammaproteobacteria; Enterobacterales; Enterobacteriaceae.